This 401-nucleotide unclassified non-coding RNA is filed under the name Bombus terrestris (buff-tailed bumblebee). RNAcentral's name for it is "misc RNA ENSBTSG00005037326.1". The record is from RNAcentral. Lineage: Eukaryota; Metazoa; Arthropoda; Insecta; Hymenoptera; Apidae.
CUCGUCUCAGUCCUAUCUUUGAUCUUGACGGUGCAGCAACGUGACUUUAAAAUUACGCGACAGUUCGUGUGAUCUGUUCGUUUAUCAAUACUUUUACCCGUGUCAUUUUCGUGGAAUCUGGUGACGAACGUUUUUCUUCAACAAAAAGGAAUCAGAAGAGGAGUUCGGUAACAAGUAUGAAUCAGGAUCAAGAAGUACCAGCCACGACUACAGAUUUGGCUAGGCUGCCAAACGAAGAAUUCAACAGGCUGAACGAGCCACUUCAAACAGUUACCACAGGAUACUGUCCCAGUAACUACUCCGUAACACAACCAAGUACCGAGGAGAAGCUGCACCCUGGUAAGUAGAACAUGUAUUUUAGGUGGAAGCGAUAUAGCAAGGUCGUAAAGUAAAGCACUAAG